AUUGAACGCUGGCGGCAUGCCUUACACAUGCAAGUCGAACGGCAGCACGGGUGCUUGCACCUGGCGGCGAGUGGCGAACGGGUGAGUAAUACAUCGGAACAUGUCCUGUAGUGGGGGAUAGCCCGGCGAAAGCCGGAUUAAUACCGCAUACGAUCUACGGAUGAAAGCGGGGGACCUUCGGGCCUCGCGCUAUAGGGUUGGCCGAUGGCUGAUUAGCUAGUUGGUGGGGUAAAGGCCUACCAAGGCGACGAUCAGUGGCUGGUCUGAGAGGACGACCAGCCACACUGGGACUGAGACACGGCCCAGACUCCUACGGGAGGCAGCAGUGGGGAAUUUUGGACAAUGGGCGAAAGCCUGAUCCAGCAAUGCCGCGUGUGUGAAGAAGGCCUUCGGGUUGUAAAGCACUUUUGUCCGGAAAGAAAUCCUUGGCCCUAAUACGGUCGGGGGAUGACGGUACCGGAAGAAUAAGCACCGGCUAACUACGUG
RNAcentral lists this ribosomal RNA (486 nucleotides) under uncultured bacterium. RNAcentral's name for it is "partial 16S ribosomal RNA". It matches the Rfam family "Bacterial small subunit ribosomal RNA", at positions 30 to 507 of the family's 1533-position model. The record is from RNAcentral.